GUGAUAAUAUAUGAGGUGAUAAAAAUUAAUGUAUUAAUAAAACAAUCUUUGCUGAAGCUUAACGAUUUGGUCUCAUUUUCAGUCCAAGCUUGGCGUAAUUUCUAUUACCAUUUUUCUUCCCUACAUGUGAGAUGAAGCAGCAAUGGCAUAGUUAACCUUAUUACUCUUUGCUGUCCAUAAUCUUUCAAUUUUUACGAGUGCCACCGGAGAACAUUUCCCAUUUAGUUCUCUAACCCUUUACUAUCUUGCAGGAGUAGAUACUAACCACUUCCACUAAUAUAAUCCAGCCGGACAUAGGCCUUUAUCUCGAAUAGUACAUUCAUAACCAAAUAUUUACUUGUAUUUCCCUUGCUGUAGACAUACCUCUAUCUUGACUAUCUGCGUGCCCCCGGUGUCAAAGAACAUCAUUCAUGUCAUUUAAUUAUUUUUUAAUUGUUUUUCCAUUAAAAAUACUAAAAAUAAAUUUCUCUAUUUUUUAUUUUUUUUUUUCCAGCUGCAUGUUUAUAAAAGGAACAAAGCUCAAAUUU
Molecule: unclassified non-coding RNA, 527 nt
Filed under: Hevea brasiliensis (rubber tree)
Lineage: Eukaryota; Viridiplantae; Streptophyta; Magnoliopsida; Malpighiales; Euphorbiaceae
Source: RNAcentral